CUGUUGCAGUUAUGUUGAUUGCGUAUUAAUUUAUCGAAUAUGAAAAUAUCUACGGGUAAUAGAAGCGAAUCUGUGAAGUCUAGAAACAAUAUUUAAAUUAGUAGCUAGUCAACAAUGCAUAAUAUUUGUUUGGUGGAUAUAUCUUUGCAAAAUCUAUCUUCAUUCUGGGAAUUGAAUAGCUGCCUACUUCAAGAAAAUUGCAUCUGCUUUCCCAAACGAAAGUCAAUUGACGUUUCGAUGACAGUGCUGCAAAAUUUUUCCGAAAAAUCAAAUCGAUGCAUCAACCAAAUUACUUUCAUUAAAAACCACGCAUAAAUUUUGAGAAAAAGACGAGAAUUUGGGCAAUUUUGGGAAGUGCUCAUUCCAACAGAGAACAACAUGGUUAUGAUGACAACUAUAGUGGCUGCUAUCGGUGGUACCAUGAUGCUCAUUGGAUGCUGUUACUGCAUCUACAUCAACACAGGACCGGGAUCAGGUACUAGGUUUAAUAUAAAUAGGGACAAACGUGAAAGAUGUAGAGAAAAAGAAAGGAGGAGAUCACGUGACAAGUAUCGAGAAGGUUGCCACUCGCAUGACUGUAAACGUGAUCACCGAAUGCUUGGUAAUGCUUGAUAACAAGAACCCCAAGUGUCUGCUAGAAGAAUGUUAAAUUUUUCUGGUGUACCUCCUCUUAUUUUAUAUUAAAUGAAGUGAAGGUUACAAUUAUGUAACCCACAACUGAGAUUGA
This is a long non-coding RNA of Harmonia axyridis, 727 nucleotides long. RefSeq lists it as uncharacterized. Lineage: Eukaryota; Metazoa; Arthropoda; Insecta; Coleoptera; Coccinellidae. The record is from RefSeq and is a predicted model, not a curated record. The transcript has 2 exons.